Molecule: long non-coding RNA, 167 nt
Organism: Pyrus x bretschneideri (Chinese white pear)
Lineage: Eukaryota; Viridiplantae; Streptophyta; Magnoliopsida; Rosales; Rosaceae
Exons: 3
Source: RefSeq, a predicted model, not a curated record
GCAGUCAGUUCUAAAAUGUCCGGUCUUGCUGUGACGGGUUAUCGAGUUCUUGCAUCGGGUCGUUCAAACGAGGCAUUCAGGAAGCGCUGAUCAUCAAAUUUUGGAGCUGUUGUGUGCGGCGUUGGUAGCCCUUUUGUGCUGAGGGAAACGGUGCUUUUUGUUUUCUG